UCGUAAAUUUGCUGAACUUGGC
Molecule: microRNA, 22 nt
Filed under: Callorhinchus milii (elephant shark)
Lineage: Eukaryota; Metazoa; Chordata; Chondrichthyes; Chimaeriformes; Callorhinchidae
Description: eshark_NOVEL_111
Source: RNAcentral